This 78-nucleotide transfer RNA is filed under the name Marmota monax (woodchuck). RNAcentral describes it as "tRNA.Met". The stretch from base 4 to 73 matches the Rfam family "tRNA". From Rfam's summary of the family: Transfer RNA (tRNA) molecules are approximately 80 nucleotides in length. Their secondary structure includes four short double-helical elements and three loops (D, anti-codon, and T loops). Lineage: Eukaryota; Metazoa; Chordata; Mammalia; Rodentia; Sciuridae. The record is from RNAcentral.
UUUGGGGAUAUAGCUCAGUUGGUAGAGUGCUUGCCUCAUAUGCACAAAACCCUGGGUUCAAUCCCCAGCACCACAAAA